GCUGGAGCGUGCAGCGAACGUGUAGAUAGGAUCUUGGACUGCUGCACCGUCCGCGCUUCAGUUCAAUGCGGAAUCGUUUUUUUUGCUCGUUGCCGUCUGUGGCAGUGUGGGUGUUCUGGGCGGAUGCGUGUUCUGCUUGCGGCCCUUCAUAUUGUUAUUUUCUGGGAGUUUGAGUGACGCUCCGUCGCAAUCUGGUUGCGGAAUUGAAACGCUUUCGUUCGUUACUUGCCGAUCGGCAGGUGGCGUUUAGAUUUGUGGGACUAUUAAUCGUCCGGGUCAACGUUACCAGAAUAGCGGACGUCGGACAGGAACCACCCGGCCGUUAUCGGGAGCAGGUGCUUCUCCCUGGCUUGAAGUCAGGGCAGGUCGAUCACACGCUAACGCUGAUGCACUGUCACGCCGCCCUGAUGCUCCGACGACGCUGUUCGUAGGGGCCGUGAAUAACGACGUUGGCAACAUCCCCACACCCCUCAUCCGCCGUUUCAACUGGCCGUGGUCAAGAUGGGAAACGGAACAGGAGAAGGACCGAGAUCUCGCCCAAGUAGUGUCCUGGCUAGGUAUGGACUCUCCGCCUUGCCCGCAGGAUAUGAUGGGUAGCAGUCGUGAGGUACGUAUUUUGUGGAAAAAUCAUGAAAUGCUGGUUCAUCAUGUUGUGCCGUCGUUGGGAGGACCCCUGCCCCAGUAAGCCAUCUCUCUUGCAAGUCGUAGUUCCCCGACAUUUACGUUCUUUGGUUUUGCAAGAGUAUCAUGACCAGGGAGGGGGGGGGGACAUACGGGUUCUACACGCCUGCAAAAGAAACUGACGCAACAAUAUCACUGGGUAGGCAUGAAGAAAGAUGUCUUAGAUUGGGUUGCAAGUGGUUCUUCCUGUAGCCAGUUGAAACGUCCCGUAGGCAAAGGGUCUGGCGCCCCACCACAGUCUUCCUGGACAGGGUAUCCUUUUGAGCGAGUAGCAAUGGAUUUGAUCCCCAAUUUACCGGAGACAGCGGAAGGGAGCCGCCAUAUUUUGGUUGUAGUGGACUAUUGCUCCUGAUCGGUUGCAUACCGAUCAGGGCAAACACUUUGAUGGAUCUUUGUUUCACAGUAUUUGCUUUCUGCUUGGCAUAGAUAAGACCAGGACAACUGCGUACCAUCCACAGAGUGACGGUCUGCUUGAAAGAUUCAACCAGACGCUUGAGCGUGGCCUGGCGCACUAUGUCUGCAGGAAUCAUCGAGAUUGUGACAUCAAGUUGCCAGCCUUCUUGAUGGGAUACCGCUCGACGCCGCACACUAGUACCGUCUACUGUCCAAGCUAUCUACUCUUUGGUCGGGAGUUAUGCCUACCUCAAGACUUGGCAUUUGGAUUAUCGCCAGGAGAAGCAUCUGCAGUAUCUUCACAGCCGGAAUUUGUGAUUGCUCUCCGCCGACACCUGGAGGACGCUCAUGCGCAGGUCCGGGAACACCUGGGCAACGUGCACCGUUAUCAAGCGCAUAUCCGUGAUCGCAACGCUAAGGCCGUGACGCAGGUGACGCAGUGUGGCUUCUGGUGCCAGCUAUUCCGACGGGUACAACCGCCAAGUUUGCUAGGCUUUGGCACGGACCGUACCUAGUCGAGGAGAAGCUCUCAGCCGUCACAUACUGCAUCAAACUGUCUGAGCCCACGGCACGUCGGCUGAUAGUGCACGCCAACCGGCUGAAAAGUUGCCAUCAUCGACCGAGUCGGCUGCAGGAGGUUCACGAGCAAGAUGAGUCGGACCCACCGCAGCCCAUGGCAUCCACCCUGACUCCGCCCUACCAGCCUGAUGCUACUGAUACCGCCGACCGAAACAAGGAGGACACCGCUCGGGUAUUUGGCAGUGCUCCGCCAGUUGGCGUGAUGGAAAGGCGAACUCCGCGUUCCCGCCAUCCGCCCCAGCUGUUUGGGAGUCCUGUGUGGCACGAGUAAGUGACUUCAGUGGUAUUGACUGGAUUAGUGGUGUUCGAUAUUACAGUUAGUCUUUGAACAGAUUUUGAUAAGAACUCCAAUUUGACCUGCACUCGUUUAGUUAAAUUGUAAGCCAUAAUCUUAGUCUAAUUGAUAACGUUACUUAUAACACGAGGACGUGUUCUUUUCCGUGUAAGCGAGGGGAUAUGUCGUAUCCAUACUAUUGACACGUGCCUUUUACGCCUCUACGUGACAAGUCUGCCUUAUUUAGGUGUCUAAUUAUUUAUCUAUCUCCUAUAAACGGGUUCAUAAUCGUCUUUAUUUUAUGUCUUCACGCAAGGCCUGGUGCCUUCCUUAUUUGGUAUACACUGUUAUUUUCCCACCUAGCUCCCGCUCUUUAUGCAACAGUUUGUACACAUAUUUACUACGGUUUGAUACGCUAUUGCAUGCGGGACCAGCAAUCUGGUGGCCAUGGACUUCCAUGGCCGCAGUUGGAUAGUAUUGCCAUCACCUUCCUUUUCUCUCUAUCUCUCUUGCCUUGUGCUCUUCAUUAUCUUCUCUUGAACUGAGUUACAUGUACCCUCCUGUGAAGAUGUGAGUAAACCUGAA
Molecule: long non-coding RNA, 2512 nt
Organism: Sycon ciliatum
Lineage: Eukaryota; Metazoa; Porifera; Calcarea; Leucosolenida; Sycettidae
Exons: 2
Source: RefSeq, a predicted model, not a curated record